Molecule: ribosomal RNA, 447 nt
Filed under: uncultured bacterium
Lineage: Bacteria
Description: bacterial SSU rRNA
Rfam family: Bacterial small subunit ribosomal RNA
Source: RNAcentral
UACGGAAGGCAGCAGGUGGGGAAUAUUGCACAAUGGGCGCAAGCCUGAUGCAGCCAUGCCGCGUGUAUGAAGAAGGCCUUCGGGUUGUUAAAGUACUUUCAGUCGUGAGGAAGGUGUUAAGGUUAAUAACCUUAGCAAUUGACGUUAGCGACAGAAGAAGCACCGGCUAACUCCGUGCCAGCAGCCGCGGUAAUACGGAGGGUGCGAGCGUUAAUCGGAAUUACUGGGCGUAAAGGGCACGCAGGCGGUUAAUUAAGUUGGAUGUGAAAAUCCCCGGGCUUAACCUGGGAAUGGCAUUCAAGACUGGUUAGCUAGAGUCUUGUAGAGGGGGUAGAAUUCCAUGUGUAGCGGUGAAAUGCGUAGAGAUGUGGAGGAAAUACCGGUGGCGAAGGCGGCCCCUGGACAAAAGGGACUGGACGCUCAUGUGCGAAAGCGUGGGGAGCAAAC